CCAGCAGCUGCCCCUGACUCUGCUGAUUUGCAUCACGGGCCGCUCUCUCAGCAAGGGGAUAAGAGAGGCCUGGGAGGAACCUGCCCAGCCUGGGCCUCAGGAAGCAGCAUCGGGGGAGCCUCAGCCAUGGCCUGGACCCCUCUCCUCCUCGGCCUCCUUGCCCACUUUACAGGCUCCAUGUCCUCCUAUGAGCUGACUCAGCCACGCUCAGUGUCAGUGUCCCCAGGACAGACAGCCAGUAUCACCUGCUCUGGAGAUAAACUGGGGGAUAAAUAUGCUUACUGGUACCAGCAGAAGCCAGGCCAGGCCCCUGUGCUGGUCAUCUAUCAAGAUAGCAAGCGGCCCUCAGGGAUCCCUGAGCGAUUCUCUGGCUCCAACUCGGGGAACACGGCCACCCUGACCAUCAGCGGGACCCAGGCUGUGGAUGAGGCUGACUAUUACUGUCAGGUACCACACAGCAGCACUGCACACAGUGACACAGGAAGAUGUGGAAGUGAGACAGAAACCUGCCGUCUCAGCCUGGCUCACAAGGCCCUGCACACAGCACACACAGGCUGGUAGACACAGGGAAGGGAA
Non-coding RNA from Sapajus apella (tufted capuchin), 576 nucleotides. NCBI's taxonomy places the organism in Eukaryota, Metazoa, Chordata, Mammalia, Primates, Cebidae. The record is from the annotation of a RefSeq genome assembly.